GAUGAACGCUGGCGGCGUGCCUAAUACAUGCAAGUCGAGCGAACAGACGAGGAGCUUGCUCCUCUGACGUUAGCGGCGGACGGGUGAGUAACACGUGGAUAACCUACUUAUAAGACUGGGAUAACUUCGGGAAACCGGAGCUAAUACUGGAUAAUAUAUUGAACCGCAUGGUUCAAUAGAGAAUGACGGCUUUGCUGUCACUUAUAGAUGGUUCCGCGCCGCAUUAGCUAGUUGGUAAGGUAACGGCUUACCAAGGCGACGAUGCGUAGCCGACCUGAGAGGGUGAUCGGCCACACUGGAACUGAGACACGGUCCAGACUCCUACGGGAGGCAGCAGUAGGGAAUCUUCCGCAAUGGGCGAAAGCCUGACGGAGCAACGCCGCGUGAGUGAUGAAGGUCUUCGGGUCGUAAAACUCUGUUAUUAGGGAAGAACAGAUGUGUAAGUAACUAUGCACGUCUUGACGGUACCUAAUCAGAAAGCCACGGCUAACUACGUG
This 497-nucleotide ribosomal RNA is filed under the name uncultured bacterium. RNAcentral's name for it is "partial 16S ribosomal RNA". It matches the Rfam family "Bacterial small subunit ribosomal RNA", at positions 28 to 507 of the family's 1533-position model. The record is from RNAcentral.